This 724-nucleotide ribosomal RNA is filed under the name Escherichia coli. RNAcentral describes it as "bacterial SSU rRNA". It matches the Rfam family "Bacterial small subunit ribosomal RNA", at positions 75 to 814 of the family's 1533-position model. The record is from RNAcentral. Lineage: Bacteria; Pseudomonadati; Pseudomonadota; Gammaproteobacteria; Enterobacterales; Enterobacteriaceae.
UCAGCUUGCUGAUUCGCUGACGAGUGGCGGACGGGUGAGUAAUGUCUGGGAAACUGCCUGAUGGAGGGGGAUAACUACUGGAAACGGUAGCUAAUACCGCAUAACGUCGCAAGACCAAAGAGGGGGACCUUCGGGCCUCUUGCCAUCGGAUGUGCCCAGAUGGGAUUAGCUUGUUGGUGGGGUAACGGCUCACCUAGGCGACGAUCCCUAGCUGGUCUGAGAGGAUGACCAGCCACACUGGAACUGAGACACGGUCCAGACUCCUACGGGAGGCAGCAGUGGGGAAUAUUGCACAAUGGGCGCAAGCCUGAUGCAGCCAUGCCGCGUGUAUGAAGAAGGCCUUCGGGUUGUAAAGUACUUUCAGCGGGGAGGAAGGGAGUAAAGUUAAUACCUUUGCUCAUUGACGUUACCCGCAGAAGAAGCACCGGCUAACUCCGUGCCAGCAGCCGCGGUAAUACGGAGGGUGCAAGCGUUAAUCGGAAUUACUGGGCGUAAAGCGCACGCAGGCGGUUUGUUAAGUCAGAUGUGAAAUCCCCGGGCUCAACCUGGGAACUGCAUCUGAUACUGGCAAGCUUGAGUCUCGUAGAGGGGGGUAGAAUUCCAGGUGUAGCGGUGAAAUGCGUAGAGAUCUGGAGAUACCGGUGGCGAAGCGCCCUGACGAGACUGACCCCUCAGGCAAGCUGGUACGACUGAUUAGAUGCGUGGUUAGUUCUCACAGACGCCA